AGUUCUCAACCUUCUUCAUUUUUGAUGAAAAGGCUUGGACUUUGGAGGCUUUUGCCGGCCUCUCUUCAUCGAGGUCGGCUCCUCUUAAAUGCAUUAGUAGGAUCCCUUCUUGCUGGUCCUCGACGUGAUAAGACUUUUCUACGUCUGGAACUUAGCUAUGAGGCCUGCUUCUAAUCGUCUCUUUUGAGACAAGCCGGUCAGACCCCCCUCUGACCCGUGAACCC
RNAcentral lists this unclassified non-coding RNA (224 nucleotides) under uncultured Lactifluus. RNAcentral's name for it is "sequence contains ITS2". Lineage: Eukaryota; Fungi; Basidiomycota; Agaricomycetes; Russulales; Russulaceae. The record is from RNAcentral.